RNAcentral lists this ribosomal RNA (254 nucleotides) under uncultured bacterium. RNAcentral's name for it is "partial 16S ribosomal RNA". It matches the Rfam family "Bacterial small subunit ribosomal RNA", at positions 524 to 777 of the family's 1533-position model. The record is from RNAcentral.
UACAGAGGGGGCAAGCGUUAUUCGGAAUUAUUGGGCGUAAAGGGCGCGUAGGCGGCUUGGCAAGUGGAUGGUGAAAUCCCUCGGCUUAACCGAGGAACGGCCGUCCAAACUGCUUCGCUUGAGACCGGGAGAGGUGAGUGGAAUUCCCAGUGUAGCGGUGAAAUGCGUAGAUAUUGGGAGGAACACCAGUGGCGAAGGCGGCUCACUGGACCGGUACUGACGCUGAAGCGCGAAAGCGUGGGGAGCAAACGGGG